Long non-coding RNA from Dermochelys coriacea (leatherback sea turtle), 1304 nucleotides. RefSeq lists it as uncharacterized. NCBI's taxonomy places the organism in Eukaryota, Metazoa, Chordata, Testudines, Dermochelyidae. The record is from RefSeq and is a predicted model, not a curated record. The transcript is spliced from 2 exons.
AUUCCGGUUAUUUAAUGGAGUAAGAUUGCCAAGUCCAAUGCUAACUCAAGAAAAUCAAAUCAGCACACAGGUUCCUCCAAAAACAAAUAUUUGUUUAUUUUUGUUCUUCUGUAGCAUGAGUGAGAAAUACAUGAGAGCUACAAGGACUUGGCAGCAUCUCGUCAACGUCAGACUUACUGCUUGGCUGGAAAAACUCUUGGUUUUCCUGCAGUUUCUAAGGGAGGCUUCAGAAUUUUUGUUUCCAGCAAGAGGCUGGACUAUUAAUUCAGGUGCUUUAGUGAACACGGUGUGACAAUAUCAUUACACAUUAUGAGCCUAACUCUGCUUUCAUUGCAAACAACACUGAGCAAUGGGAUUUUACAUGGAGGACGGAAUUUUUUUCUCCAUCAUGGAGGCAGGGUGCAGGGCCCUUCUGCAUAAUGUUUAUUUGCAGUCUAUUGUUUAGCCACUAGAUGUCUGUGCGUUAUACUGAGAUCCAGACAGAGCAAGUCCCUGGUACACAAAGGCACACUGAGCUGGAACUUGAACUAUGAACACAACGUAUUGUGAAAGCCUGUUUGGUUUGUGUCCACCUUAGCUGUUUGCUUUAAACACCUACAACAGGAAGGGCUAUGAUUCCAUGACACUGUACUCUUAUAUACUGCAUUGAUUGGCACCAUAUAAGUAGACAGACCCAUACUAUAGCCUACGGGCAGGCGAUUCAGCCGUGGCCUUUUGCAUUCACACACCUCCAUAGGGUUUUGUUUGCAAUGCUGUGCAGAGAUCUGCCACAAAGUAGAAUACUCCUAUGAUGUUUAACACCUGCCCCAACUCCAAGGGAAAGGUGUGUCUAUGUAUUUUAAGCCAGGUGUGCCUGUGGUGGGUGAGGGCUGGGCUUGGCUCUGAGUUUAAAGGCCAAUUAAAUCCGUUACAUCGCUGAUAGAGACCAGAGAGACUGAAGGCAACAGAGCAAAUCAGGGCUCUGAAGCUUUUAUUAGCUGAUCAGAAAUACAGGCUCAUCAGUAUAACAGUUAACAUCAGCAGUGUAUAGGCAACUGGAACCCAAGAAUGUAAAACCACUGGGUUUUCACAGUGAUAAAUCAAAAUGUAUAAAACAUUCCAGUUAUUGUCUCCUCGAAUGAUUGUUUCAGCAAGGCCCAGAUUGCAAAAGCAGAAGACUUCACUUUUGAGAUUUGCUCAUUAUCAGAAAACUUGUUCACAGACAGAAUGCUCCUGUCCCCCCACAAAGGAAAACAAAAGCUAAACAAAAAGCCCCCUUCCCUCCCCUAUUUCCAAAUGGUUCUCAAAGGCUCUUCCUCAAUCCA